GUCUAGGUGGUGUUGCUGGUUAUCAUGCUAGCCUUACACACUAGAGGUCUUCGGUUCGAACCCGAGCUUAGACA
Transfer RNA from Corchorus capsularis, 74 nucleotides. It matches the Rfam family "tRNA". Rfam says of the family: Transfer RNA (tRNA) molecules are approximately 80 nucleotides in length. Their secondary structure includes four short double-helical elements and three loops (D, anti-codon, and T loops). NCBI's taxonomy places the organism in Eukaryota, Viridiplantae, Streptophyta, Magnoliopsida, Malvales, Malvaceae. The record is from Rfam.